UUGACGUAGGCUUUUAUUAGGUCAACUUGAUAAAAACUUGCGAAAAAAUCCCACUAACGUAACGCCUUGCUGUGUCAAUCACCGAGGCGGUACGUUUUUUU
This is a regulatory RNA element of 101 nucleotides. It matches the Rfam family "23S methyl RNA motif". The record is from Rfam.